GGGCGUAUGGUGUAGUGGUAUCACUCAUGCUUUGCACCAGCUACAUGUUCGUCUCAUGUGGCACCUUUGUAUGCGGUCCAGGGUUCAAACCCCUGUGCGUCCA
This is a non-coding RNA of Mycena haematopus, 103 nucleotides long. Lineage: Eukaryota; Fungi; Basidiomycota; Agaricomycetes; Agaricales; Mycenaceae. The record is from the annotation of a GenBank genome assembly.